AUACUUACCUAGCAGGGGGAUACCGUGAUCAAGGUUGUUUUCCCAAAGUAAGGCUUAUCCAUUGCACUCCAGAUGUGAGUUCCCCAAAUGUGGGAAAUUUGACUACAUAAUUGUGGUAGUGGGGACUACAUAAAUGUGCUGUUCCCCC
RNAcentral lists this small nuclear RNA (148 nucleotides) under Nannospalax galili (Upper Galilee mountains blind mole rat). RNAcentral's name for it is "U1 spliceosomal RNA (ENSNGAG00000003337.1)". It matches the Rfam family "U1 spliceosomal RNA". Rfam says of the family: U1 is a small nuclear RNA (snRNA) component of the spliceosome (involved in pre-mRNA splicing). Its 5' end forms complementary base pairs with the 5' splice junction, thus defining the 5' donor site of an intron. The record is from RNAcentral. Lineage: Eukaryota; Metazoa; Chordata; Mammalia; Rodentia; Spalacidae.